UACAGAGGGUGCAAGCGUUAAUCGGAAUUACUGGGCGUAAAGCGCACGUAGGUGGAUAUUUAAGUCGGAAGUGAAAGCCCUGGGCUUAACCUGGGAAUUGCCUCCGAUACUGGAUGUCUAGAGUAUGGUAGAGGAUAGUGGAAUUUCCGGUGUAGCGGUGAAAUGCGUAGAUAUCGGAAGGAACACCAGUGGCGAAAGCGGCUAUCUGGACCAAUACUGACACUUAGGUGCGAAAGCGUGGGGAGCAAACAGG
This 253-nucleotide ribosomal RNA is filed under the name uncultured bacterium. RNAcentral's name for it is "partial 16S ribosomal RNA". It matches the Rfam family "Bacterial small subunit ribosomal RNA", at positions 524 to 776 of the family's 1533-position model. The record is from RNAcentral.